Molecule: non-coding RNA, 595 nt
Filed under: Pongo abelii (Sumatran orangutan)
Lineage: Eukaryota; Metazoa; Chordata; Mammalia; Primates; Hominidae
Source: RNAcentral
ACACACGCACGCGCGCUUCUUAAAGGAGACGGCUCAUAAAGGAUUCCCCACUACGCCAGCAGAGGGGAAGAGGAGCCCAUGGGAAAGAAAAGCAGGCGAGGUUAAGAAUAAAGAGUGUUCCAGGUAUGACAGCUACCUCGGUGAGGUGGAAGAGAGAAUUGACAAGGCAAAUUUCAUGGGUGAGUUGGAAAGGCAAGAAGCAGGACUACAAGAGGUCCUAUGUGGUAAGCAGAUGGAAAAUGCCGAAAAUGGUUUGCCAAAAAUUGUAUUAGACUGCAAUAACUUUUAUCCAAUAAAAGAAAAAAAAGGCUGAGGAAUGGGACUUUGCAGCUAUUGCUGUAAAAAUGUAAGAAAUGCCCACCCAACUUGACCCAAGACCCAAGAAGGUCUCAGGGAGACCUUCCUGACAGUCUGCCUUGUGCCCAGCAUGUGCUGCCCACAAAAUAAUUUUGAAGAUGUAAUAAAAAGCAAUGCCUUAUAUUGUAUAGUAUAUUAGAAUAUUCAGAAUGUUUCCAGACAUAGUAUCUCAUUUAAUUUUCACACCAUCUCUGAGGAUUUUGUUUUUAUUUUACAGAUGAAGUAAAUGAUAGCAAUA